This 407-nucleotide ribosomal RNA is filed under the name uncultured bacterium. RNAcentral describes it as "partial 16S ribosomal RNA". It matches the Rfam family "Bacterial small subunit ribosomal RNA", at positions 28 to 526 of the family's 1533-position model. The record is from RNAcentral.
GACGAACGCUGGCGGCGUGCCUAAUACAUGCAAGUAGAACGCAGUUGCGAACGGGUGAGUAACGCGUAGGUAACUGCCUCAUAGCGGGGGAUAACUCUUGGAACCGAUAGCUAAUACCGCAUACUGUGAGAUGGACCUGCGUUGUAUUAUGGAGUUGGGGAGGUAAAGGCUCACCAAGGCGACGAUACAUAGCCGACCUGAGAGGGUGGUCGGCCACACUGGGACUGGGACACGGCCCAGACUCCUACGGGAGGCAGCAGUAGGGAAUCUUUGGCAAUGGACGGAAGUCCGACCGAGCAACGGCGGGUGCGUGAAGAAGGUUCUCGGAGCGGAAAGCUCCGUGGUUAGAGAAGCGUUAACUACCCAGAAAGGGACGGCUAACUACGUGCCAGCAGCCGCGGUAAUUC